AACGUUAUGCCGGAAAACGGGAUAUCUUGAUGUGGUAUAAAAUGUGGGUGAAAGCCCCUCUAACGUUA
This 68-nucleotide transfer RNA is filed under the name Scrobicularia plana. RNAcentral's name for it is "tRNA-Ile". Lineage: Eukaryota; Metazoa; Mollusca; Bivalvia; Cardiida; Scrobiculariidae. The record is from RNAcentral.